This 255-nucleotide ribosomal RNA is filed under the name uncultured bacterium. Its description in RNAcentral is "partial 16S ribosomal RNA". It matches the Rfam family "Bacterial small subunit ribosomal RNA", at positions 524 to 776 of the family's 1533-position model. The record is from RNAcentral.
UACGUAGGGGGGCAAGCGUUGUCCGGAUUUUAUUGGGCGUAAAGAGCGUGUAGGCGGUUUGGUAGGUCCGCUGUGAAAACUCGAGCUCAACCUCGAGACGCCGGUGGAAACCAUCAGACUAGAGUCCGGAAGAGGAGAGUGGAAUUCCUGGUGUAGCGGUGAAAUGCGCAGAUAUCAGGAGGAACACCAAUGGCGAAGGCAGCUCGCUGGGGACGGUACUGACGCUGAGACGCGAAAGCGUGGGGAGCAAACAGG